Molecule: ribosomal RNA, 495 nt
Filed under: uncultured bacterium
Lineage: Bacteria
Description: partial 16S ribosomal RNA
Rfam family: Bacterial small subunit ribosomal RNA
Source: RNAcentral
UGAACGCUGGCGGCGUGCCUAAUACAUGCAAGUCGAGCGAACAGACGAGGAGCUUGCUCCUCUGACGUUAGCGGCGGACGGGUGAGUAACACGUGGAUAACCUACCUAUAAGACUGGGAUAACUUCGGGAAACCGGAGCUAAUACCGGAUAAUAUAUUGAACCGCAUGGUUCAAUAGUGAAAGACGGUUUUGCUGUCACUUAUAGAUGGAUCCGCGCCGCAUUAGCUAGUUGGUAAGGUAACGGCUUACCAAGGCAACGAUGCGUAGCCGACCUGAGAGGGUGAUCGGCCACACUGGAACUGAGACACGGUCCAGACUCCUAUGGGAGGCAGCAGUAGGGAAUCUUCCGCAAUGGGCGAAAGCCUGACGGAGCAACGCCGCGUGAGUGAUGAAGGUCUUCGGAUCGUAAAACUCUGUUAUUAGGGAAGAACAAAUGUGUAAGUAACUAUGCACGUCUUGACGGUACCUAAUCAGAAAGCCACGGCUAACUACGUG